This 317-nucleotide ribosomal RNA is filed under the name uncultured bacterium. RNAcentral's name for it is "bacterial SSU rRNA". It matches the Rfam family "Bacterial small subunit ribosomal RNA", at positions 28 to 334 of the family's 1533-position model. The record is from RNAcentral.
GAUAAACGCUGGCGGCGCACAUAAGACAUGCAAGUCGAACGGACUUAACCGAGAUGUUUACAUUUUGGAGCGGUUAGUGGCGGACUGGUGAGUAACACGUAAGCAACCUGCCUAUUAGAGGGGAAUAACAGUGAGAAAUCAUUGCUAAUACCGCAUAUGCCAUAAUUACCACAUGGUGAUAGUGGGAAAGGAGAAAUCCGCUGAUAGAUGGGCUUGCGUCUGAUUAGAUAGUUGGUGGGGUAACGGCCUACCAAGUCGACGAUCAGUAGCCGAACUGAGAGGUUGAACGGCCACAUUGGGACUGAGAUACGGCCCAG